This 457-nucleotide ribosomal RNA is filed under the name uncultured Sphingobacteriales bacterium. RNAcentral describes it as "bacterial SSU rRNA". It matches the Rfam family "Bacterial small subunit ribosomal RNA", at positions 925 to 1382 of the family's 1533-position model. Lineage: Bacteria; Pseudomonadati; Bacteroidota; Sphingobacteriia; Sphingobacteriales. The record is from RNAcentral.
ACAAGCGGUGGAGCAUGUGGUUUAAUUCGAUGAUACGCGAGGAACCUUACCUGGGCUCGAACGUAAGAUGACUGUAGGUGAAAGCUUACAUCUCUUCGGAGCAUUUUACGAGGUGCUGCAUGGUUGUCGUCAGCUCGUGCCGUGAGGUGUCGGGUUAAGUCCCAUAACGAGCGCAACCCCUACCUUUAGUUGCCAUCAGGUAAUGCUGGGGACUCUAAAGGAACUGCCUACGCAAGUAGUGAGGAAGGCGGGGAUGACGUCAAAUCAGCACGGCCCUUACGUCCAGGGCUACACACGUGCUACAAUGGCCGAUACAGAGGGCAGCUACCUGGUGACAGGAUGCAAAUCUCCAAAGUCGGUCUCAGUUCGGAUCGGAGUCUGCAACCCGACUCCGUGAAGUUGGAUUCGCUAGUAAUCGCGCAUCAGCCAUGGCGCGGUGAAUACGUUCCCGGGCCUU